UCAUACUUGUGUACCACUACGUUAAAUUUAAUAGAUGCUACACUAUGAAGCAAGAUUACAAAGCCUGAUUCAAGCGUGUAAAGAACCUCUCUUCAUGACAAGCGGCUAAUGAGUUCUCACGGCAUAAAAGUAUGAACGUCAUAAAGAACCUUAAUGGAGUUUCAUGUUGAACGACAUGAGAGAAAAGACGAAAUAAAUGCCAGUUAAAGAGAAA
Long non-coding RNA from Cyprinodon tularosa, 214 nucleotides. RefSeq lists it as uncharacterized. The transcript is spliced from 2 exons. The record is from RefSeq and is a predicted model, not a curated record. NCBI's taxonomy places the organism in Eukaryota, Metazoa, Chordata, Actinopteri, Cyprinodontiformes, Cyprinodontidae.